Molecule: long non-coding RNA, 714 nt
Organism: Panicum virgatum (switchgrass)
Lineage: Eukaryota; Viridiplantae; Streptophyta; Magnoliopsida; Poales; Poaceae
Exons: 5
Source: RefSeq, a predicted model, not a curated record
UUCUCAUCCCAGCAAACACUAGGUUUUCUGAUUUCUUGUUUUUUCUUGCUGGCUAUGGUGCCAUUUCAUUGUGCAUUCUGUCAUAUGUGAAUCGUGCCCUGGUCAAGCAGAGAGACUUCUGGAUUCUGCAAGAGAAAUGGAAGACUCAAUUGCUGUGAACUUUAGUUCCUGGCGACUCGAAGUAAGUAGAGUGGAGCUGCUGCUUCAAGUAGGAACGUUUUGUUGCAGUAGGAGCAUUAGUUGCAGGAAUAUUUGGCAUGAAUCUUAAAUCAUACCUCGAGACAAACGCGUGGGCAUUUUGAGCGACGACUGGUGGAAUAGUAGUUGGAGCACGAGCUGGAUGUUUCUUCAUGUACUCCUACCUAAAGGCUAGGGAGAUAUUGUGAACCCUGUAACAUCUAUAUCUUAGAACUAUUCUUUGAACUGUAAAUAUUGCAAUUUUUAUGUCAUUUGCACAUCAUUGAUGGAUAUGCAUAUUGAUUCUUGAGAUUAUUGUGGGUGUUCGAUGCUUCGAAUUCUUGCAUGGUUUGUCAGUCGUGAUCCUGAAGGCUGGACCAAGCAUUUCCACAAGUUGGUCGAAGAUGGGUCGAACUGGAGCAUGGGUCAAAGGCAGCUCUUCUGUUUGGGACGUGCAAUUUUGAGAAGAUGCCGCAUUUUAGUUCUCGAUGAGGCCACUGCUUCUAUAGACAAUGCAACUGAUGCUAUACUCAGAAA